GUGAAUCAUCGAAUCUUUGAACGCACAUUGCGCCCCUUGGUAUUCCGAGGGGCAUGCCUGUUCGAGCGUCAUUUCAACCCUCAAGCACUGCUUGGUCUUGGGCUCCGCCGCUAACCCGGCGGGCCUUAAAACGAGUGGCGGCGCCAUCAGGCUCUGAGCGUAGUAGAUUUCCUCGCUACGGAGUCCUGGUGACGGUGGCCAUCAACCCCCAACUUUCUCAGUUUGACCUCGGAUCAGGUAGGGAUACCCGCUGAACUUAAGCAUAUCAAUAAGCGGAGGA
Molecule: unclassified non-coding RNA, 280 nt
Filed under: Helotiales sp.
Lineage: Eukaryota; Fungi; Ascomycota; Leotiomycetes; Helotiales
Description: partial contains 5.8S ribosomal RNA, internal transcribed spacer 2, and large subunit ribosomal RNA
Rfam family: 5.8S ribosomal RNA (bases 1-71)
Source: RNAcentral